CACAUUCGUGGCAGCAAUGUAAUUAUGGUUGGUCUGAAGAAAUCACCUUCACCUUCCAAUUUUUCCCUCCUUUCUUUUUUUUCUUUCUCAAAAACCAAUUUACCAAUCUGGGUCAUGCCAUUUUCCAUACCCAUCUUCUCAUUACAUCUUUUUCUUCUUCAAAGAUCAGAGGUCACACAUUAUGCGUGAGUGUGGUCCAAACCUCGGAACGCCAAACAUGCUUUGCUCACGUUUUAUGCGUUUACGUUUUCCUACAAAUACCAACCCAACAUUGGAUCAAGAUCCAUUUUCCAUAACACCUCCACCACCUCUUCCAUAAGAGACCAUUCCCGAGGAACUAUUCAUUCAUCUUUGGAAAUGAAUGUUUUGGUUUUCUCAGGUUUGGGAAAAGCAAUGGUGCCUGGUGCAAGGGUUCAAUCCUGGUGUAUAAGACAUGAGCAAUUCAUUGUCAUUUGAAGGUAUUGAAGUUAUGGAUUAAUAUUCCUAAUGUUUGGAAUUUGGGAAUGAAGCCAUCGGUCCUGUUAAUUAAAUUAAAAAUAUAUUAUUAUUAUUAUAUUGAACUUAUUUAUGUACUUUAUCAUUUGAUGUAGUCUGGAUCUAUCAUUUUUGGCACAUCAAAUUUGGCACCAUUGGUGUCAUCUCUUGAACUUGUUGAAUUUACAUGCUUUUAGUUUUCUAUGUUCUUUUUAAUUUCAGUACUUUCA
Molecule: non-coding RNA, 704 nt
Organism: Cicer arietinum (chickpea)
Lineage: Eukaryota; Viridiplantae; Streptophyta; Magnoliopsida; Fabales; Fabaceae
Source: RefSeq, a predicted model, not a curated record